GACGAACGCUGGCGGCGCGCUUAACACAUGCAAGUCGAACGGUAAGGCCCUUCGGGGUACACGAGUGGCGAACGGGUGAGUAACACGUGGGUGAUCUGCCCUGCACUUCGGGAUAAGCCUGGGAAACUGGGUCUAAUACCGGAUAGGACUCCUGGCUUCAUGGUUGGGGGUGGAAAGCUUUUGCGGUGUGGGAUGGGCCCGCGGCCUAUCAGCUUGUUGGUGGGGUAAUGGCCUACCAAGGCGACGAGGGGUAGCCGGCCGGAGAGGGUUACCGGUCACACUGGGACGGAGAUACGGACCAGACUCCUACGGGAGGCAGCAGUGGGGAAUAUUGCACAAUGGGCGCAAGCCUGAUGCAGCGACGCCGCGUGAGGGAUGACGGCCUUCGGGUUGUAAACCUCUUUCAGCUAUGACGAAGCGCAAGUGACGGUAGUAGCAGAAGAAGGACCGGCCAACUACGUGCCAGCCGCCGCGGUAA
RNAcentral lists this ribosomal RNA (478 nucleotides) under uncultured bacterium. RNAcentral describes it as "partial 16S ribosomal RNA". It matches the Rfam family "Bacterial small subunit ribosomal RNA", at positions 28 to 523 of the family's 1533-position model. The record is from RNAcentral.